AGUGGUGGGUUGCACCACCGUGGCCCUUCACCCCUGCCCCUCUCCACUCUACAGCGGCUCUGAUGUCAGAGAGCGGCCCCUUGAGACAGGUGGGACAUGUCAUUUCUCACAUGAGGUCCCGGCGAGAAGGACCUGCCUCCAUCAGAUUCACACUCGGGAGAGGGGCCCGGCCUCCAGGAGCGCCAGGCAGAGGAGAGGGCACCCAUUAGGAAGAAGAACACAGAGGCCAUGGGAGUGAAAAGUUUGAUGCUGGAAAGCAAUAGUAGCACAUUCUGCUACAGAGCGGAAUGAAAAACCCUGGAGAGCAAAUUCCUGAGCCAGAGAAUGGAGCGGAGGAACCAGCCAAGGAGGAUAAAGAGAUGGGAACAGGCAAGAAAACCUGGAACUGUGUGCUCUGAGGCUGCCCGACCCUGAGCUCCAGAACAGACCAUCGAGUUCAGGAGACAAGCAUGUCAGCCAUGACACAAGGCAGAUGAGAGGGACCCAGCGUCCACACGUGGAGGCAGCAGGGGCAGCCGUGACUUCCUUCUGCAGUGUUGAUUCAGCUCCCUUUGAAGGCGGAUCCAUACAAACAGGCCGACCAUCAGGGCUGGUCCCAGGCCACCAGGCCGGGUGCAAUGCAGAAAUGGAGAUCUGCCCCGGGGAAGGCAGGGGGAAAACUGGAGGAGAAGAAACUGUAAUUCCAGUCCGUCCACAUGGCCCAGCAGUGAACGACAAUUGCAUGGUCAGAGAGAGCAAAAGCACCAAGCCGACUGAAAGCAGCUCGAAUGCGGUGGGGCAGUGGGAGAUAAUGCCUCAUCUACCAAAACAAGGUCUGCCACCUUCACAGACCACUAAACCUCAUUCCUCCACCCACCUCCCCACCCCCACGAAGGCCAACUGACCAGAGAGCAGGGCUCCCGAGGGUCGGGUCAGGUCGGGUCGGGUCGGGUCGGGUGGGUGCCUCUUACCCUAACUGAGGCUCUGCCCUGGACUCGGAGUCCACUUGCUGUCAAAGCAUGCCACUCUUCUUUCUGAUACUUGACAUAUUUCUUUUCCCGUUCAAUUCAUGGUUUCCGCCCAAACGGAGCCACGCAAGGACGUCUUUGGGGAUGUGUCUCCAAGAAAAGUGUGGGCUGCCUUCCUCACCCUGGAUGCCUGUGGGCUGCCUUCCUCACCCUGGAUGCCUGUGGGCUGCCUUCCUCACCCUGGAUGCCUGUGGGCAGCCUUCCUCACCCUGGAUGCCUGUGGGCAGCCUUCCUCACCCUGGAUGCCUUUGGGCUGCCUUCCUCACCCUGGAUGCCUGUGGGCUGCCUUCCUCACCCUGGAUGCCUGUGGGCUGCCUUCCUCACCCUGGAUGCCUGUGGGCUGCCUUCCUCACCCUGGAUGCCUGUGGGCUGCCUUCCUCACCCUGGAUGCCUGUGGGCAGCCUUCCUCACCCUGGAUGCCUGUGGGCAGCCUUCCUCACCCUGGAUGCCUGUGGGCUGCCUUCCUCACCCUGGAUGCCUGUGGGCUGCCUUCCUCACCCUGGAUGCCUGUGGGCUGCCUUCCUCACCCUGGAUGCCUGUGGGCUGCCUUCCUCACCCUGGAUGCCUGUGGGCAGCCUUCCUCACCCUGGAUGCCUGUGACUUGGUUUCCAUGGGGGCUUCCUAAGCUCAGGGACCCCAAGCCUCCAUCAAAUCUAAUGACCCGCCCUGUCUCUGAACACACCUGUGUUGUCCCCGAGCCCCUCACCAACCCCCUCUGCAACCCCGCCCACGCAUUUCCCAUCCUGAAGGGUCCAGCUCAUAGGCCGGCCCAUGUGUUCCCUUUACCCCUGCUUUGUCCCUACCUGGUGGGGAGCUGUCCCUUCUGGGCCCUAGUGUGGCACUUCACACACAAAUGUGUCCUGUGGGUGGUAUCUGGGGCCUCCCCCUGCAGUGAGGGGAUGACCAAUGUGCAGAGCUCACUGGGCCUGGGUAUGGGCUCGGGUGGCACAGAACAGAAAGUGCUCCAUAAAAGUGAGCUGCGAUGCGGAGGUGGGCAAGCUCUUCCCUGGAGGGGGAAGAGCUCUCAACCCAGAGGGAUCUGACCAGGAAGGUUCACCCCGCCUCCACCCAGGAAGCCCCUGCAGACAGUAUGUGUUUUAGGCUUUGCUGGCCAAAUGGUCUCUGCCGUGACUACUCAGCUCUGCCAUUGUGGCAGCAGAGUGACCAUAGACCUUCUGAAAGUGAAUGAGUAUGACUGUGUUCCAAUAAAACUUUAUUGACAAAAA
Pan troglodytes (chimpanzee) is the source of this 2233-nucleotide long non-coding RNA. RefSeq lists it as uncharacterized. The transcript has 5 exons. The record is from RefSeq and is a predicted model, not a curated record. NCBI's taxonomy places the organism in Eukaryota, Metazoa, Chordata, Mammalia, Primates, Hominidae.